This 429-nucleotide ribosomal RNA is filed under the name Chloroflexota bacterium. Its description in RNAcentral is "Chloroflexi bacterium partial 16S ribosomal RNA". It matches the Rfam family "Bacterial small subunit ribosomal RNA", at positions 355 to 776 of the family's 1533-position model. Lineage: Bacteria; Bacillati; Chloroflexota. The record is from RNAcentral.
UGGGGAAUAUUGCACAAUGGGCGCAAGCCUGAUGCAGCCAUGCCGCGUGUGUGAAGAAGGCCUUCGGGUUGUAAAGCACUUUCAGCGGGGAGGAAGGCGAUAAGGUUAAUAACCUUGUCGAUUGACGUUACCCGCAGAAGAAGCACCGGCUAACUCCGGGCCAGCAGCCGCGGUAAUACGGAGGGUGCAAGCGUUAAUCGGAAUUACUGGGCGUAAAGCGCACGCAGGCGGUCUGUCAAGUCGGAUGUGAAAUCCCCGGGGUCAACCUGGGAACUGCAUUCGAAACUGGCAGGCUAGAGUCUUGUAGAGGGGGGUAGAAUUCCAGGUGUAGCGGUGAAAUGCGUAGGGAUCUGGAGGAAUACCGGUGGCGAAGGCGGCCCCCUGGACAAAGACUGACGCUCAGGUGCGAAAGCGUGGGGAGCAAACAGG